Neogale vison (American mink) is the source of this 567-nucleotide long non-coding RNA. RefSeq lists it as uncharacterized. The transcript is spliced from 3 exons. The record is from RefSeq and is a predicted model, not a curated record. NCBI's taxonomy places the organism in Eukaryota, Metazoa, Chordata, Mammalia, Carnivora, Mustelidae.
UCUGUGACUGUCCUGCUCCCGCGGCGGCCAGCCACCCACCGCUCCGCCCCUGCCUGAGCACAAGAGAGGCGGUAAAUCGGAUGAUGCUUCUGAGGAUCCCGUGUGACACACAACCCGCAACGACGUCACGCAGCUGCUGUCACCAAGUAGCUGCUCAGCCAACAUUGGUCUCAUUCUUUGACCUGGUCAGUCCAAAUAGGACAUCACCCAUCAAAAAGAAAAAGGAAAAAGCUCCUGCAUUCCUACCUUUCUUUAGGGAGAAGCAAGUCUUAAACCAUGAAAAUCUGUAAGAAAGUACAGUUGGUCUGGCUUGGAUUUUCACUACUGGAAGCCACUUCUGAAUAUAUAUCCUAGACCUUUGAGAUGAAAUCUCCACCUUGUGCAUCCUGACCUCCUACAUUCUCAGACGGGGUUAUACCUAUUGGUCCAUUAUCGUCCUUUGGUGUCGGAAGCCAAGCUUCAGGGAGCCUGAGGCCAGAGCGUGGGAGGAGGAAUGAGACUGAGAAGCUCACAGUCACCGAGGCCGCAUACACCCCCACACCCAGAGGAGAGAAGAUCCCACGUGAA